GGAACAGGACGUCACAGAGGGUGAGAAUCCCGUGCGAUGAGAUGCCCAAUUCUAUGUAAAGUGCUUUCGAAGAGUCGAGUUGUUUGGGAAUGCAGCUCUAAGUGGGUGGUAAAUUCCAUCUAAAGCUAAAUAUUGGCGAGAGACCGAUAGCGAACAAGUACAGUGAUGGAAAGAUGAAAAGAACUUUGAAAAGAGAGUGAAAAAGUACGUGAAAUUGUUGAAAGGGAAGGGCUUGAGAUCAGACUUGGUAUUUUGCGAUCCUUUCCUUCUUGGUUGGGUUCCUCGCAGCUUACUGGGCCAGCAUCGGUUUGGAUGGUAGGAUAAUGACUAAGGAAUGUGGCUCUACUUCGGUGGAGUGUUAUAGCCUUGGUUGAUACUGCCUGUCUAGACCGAGGACUGCGUCUUUUGACUAGGAUGUUGGCAUAAUGAUCUUAAGCCACCCGUCUUGAAACACGGACCAAGGAGUCUAACGUCUAUGCGAGUGUUUGGGUGUAAAACCCGUACGCGUAAUGAAAGUGAACGUAGGUGAGAGCUCUUAAGAGUGCAUCAUCGACCGAUCCUGAUGUCUUCGGAUGGAUUUGAGUAAGAGCAUAGCUGUUGGGACCCGAAAGAUGGUGAACUAUGCCUGAAUAGGGUGAAGCCAGAGGAAACUCUGGUGGAGGCUCGUAGCGGUUCUGACGUGCAAAUCGAUCGUCGAAUUUGGG
Molecule: ribosomal RNA, 704 nt
Filed under: Debaryomyces hansenii
Lineage: Eukaryota; Fungi; Ascomycota; Pichiomycetes; Serinales; Debaryomycetaceae
Description: partial large subunit ribosomal RNA
Rfam family: Eukaryotic large subunit ribosomal RNA
Source: RNAcentral